UACGUAGGGUGCAAGCGUUGUCCGGAAUUAUUGGGCGUAAAGAGCUCGUAGGCGGUUUGUCGCGUCUGCUGUGAAAACUCAGGGCUUAACCCUGAGCCUGCAGUGGGUACGGGGCAGACUAGAGUGUGGUAGGGGAGAUCGGAAUUCCUGGUGUAGCGGUGGAAUGCGCAGAUAUCAGGAGGAACACCAAUGGCGAAGGCAGCUCGCUGGAACGGUACUGACGCUGAGGCGCGAAAGCGUGGGGAGCGAACAGG
This 254-nucleotide ribosomal RNA is filed under the name uncultured bacterium. Its description in RNAcentral is "partial 16S ribosomal RNA". It matches the Rfam family "Bacterial small subunit ribosomal RNA", at positions 524 to 776 of the family's 1533-position model. The record is from RNAcentral.